Molecule: long non-coding RNA, 1267 nt
Organism: Octopus bimaculoides (California two-spot octopus)
Lineage: Eukaryota; Metazoa; Mollusca; Cephalopoda; Octopoda; Octopodidae
Source: RefSeq, a predicted model, not a curated record
AUCACACGAAUCGGAUAUAACAAAGAAAUUAGAUUCACGUAAAAAUAGUUCGACUAUGUUAUAAUAGUUGGUCGAAAGCAGCAAGAAUUUGAUUAUGACUAAUCUGAGUUUUAAGAAGGAAUGGAGUUAUUAAUAUUUUCUUUUUCGAUUGUCUUUGUUCCUCUCAAAAAUAAGAAAAGCAAUUUUAAAAUGAUGGGAUCUAUUUCUAUGGCUGUAUGGAAAUGUACAAGGCCAGAAAUUUUGGGAGAGGGGUCAGUCGAUUAGAUCGACCCCCAUUGCGUAACUGGUACUUAAUUUAUCGACCCCGAAAGGAUGAAAGGCAAAGUCGACCUCAGCGGAAUUUGAACUCAGAACGUAAAGACAGACGAAAUGACGCUAAGCAUUUCGCCUGGCGUGCUAACGAUUAACCAGCUCGCCGCCUCACUGAAAGCUGUAGUAUUAAAGAAUAGAAGAUCAUAUUUUGCUAUACAAACAAUCAUUAAAUUGCAAUAUCAAGUGGACAAAACUGAGCAUUUUCGACACCACUUGCUUUUAGCAUUUAAUUGAGGAUUUAUCCCACCAAAACUGCUCGUGAGGUUUUGUUGUGUAUGGCGAAGAAGUAGUGCUUCAAAGUACUGCCCGCCGUUGGUUGUCGCACUUCAAGAAUGGGAAUUUUGACCUCAAGGACGGAUUACACACCGGUCAGCCAACUGAGUUCGAGGAAGAGCGAUUGAAUCAACUUCUUCACGAAUUCCAAGUCAAACAAUCGAAGAAUUGGCGAAGCUGAUGGAUUGUGAUUAAAACAAAUCUGUGGUAAACCACCUCAACAUACUGCCUUUUGCAAUGACGUGGGUUACAGCUGAUCCAACAGCCUGCUUACGAAAUUAACCUGCACGUGGCUGAGUACUCCUCAGACACGCAAUUUUGGAGGGAGGGGAUAAGUCCAUUACAUCAACUCCAGCGUUCAACUAGUACCUAUUUUGAUCGACUUCGAAAGGAUGAAAGCAAAAUUUACCUCGGCGGAAUUUGAACUCAGAACGUAAAGACAGACAAUAUGCCGCUAAGCAUUUUGUCCGGUGUAUUAGCGACUUUGCCUGCUCGUCGCCUUAAUUCUAAUAAUGACUGUUAAUAAAAUAUUGUUUUAGUGAUAGUAGUCAGGAUCUACCAAUCCACUGCCUUCACUCCAACGGUGUAUGAAAUACGAAAGAAAGCAAGGUCGUAUAUCUUGACGCCUGACCUCAAGAUACGUCGACAAUAAAUUAACUUCUUUAAAUUAUAUCGUUUUGCU